This 213-nucleotide ribosomal RNA is filed under the name uncultured bacterium. RNAcentral describes it as "partial 16S ribosomal RNA". It matches the Rfam family "Bacterial small subunit ribosomal RNA", at positions 1288 to 1500 of the family's 1533-position model. The record is from RNAcentral.
UCAGUUCGGAUUGUAGUCUGCAACUCGACUACAUGAAGCUGGAAUCGCUAGUAAUCGCGAAUCAGAAUGUCGCGGUGAAUACGUUCCCGGGUCUUGUACACACCGCCCGUCACACCAUGGGAGCCGGGAAUGCCCGAAGUCCGUAGCCUAACCGCAAGGAGGGCGCGGCCGAAGGUAGGACUGGUAAUUAGGGUGAAGUCGUAACAAGGUAUC